UGGGGAAUCUUAGACAAUGGGCGCAAGCCUGAUCUAGCCAUGCCGCGUGAGCGAUGAAGGCCUUAGGGUUGUAAAGCUCUUUCGUGGGGGAAGAUAAUGACUGUACCCCAAGAAGAAGCCCCGGCUAACUCCGUGCCAGCAGCCGCGGUAAUACGGAGGGGGCUAGCGUUGUUCGGAAUUACUGGGCGUAAAGCGCACGUAGGCGGACUGGAAAGUCAGAGGUGAAAUCCCAGGGCUCAACCUUGGAACUGCCUUUGAAACUCCCAGUCUUGAGGUCGAGAGAGGUGAGUGGAAUUCCGAGUGUAGAGGUGAAAUUCGUAGAUAUUCGGAGGAACACCAGUGGCGAAGGCGGCUCACUGGCUCGAUACUGACGCUGAGGUGCGAAAGCGUGGGGAGCAAACA
This 402-nucleotide ribosomal RNA is filed under the name uncultured Rhodobacter sp. Its description in RNAcentral is "partial 16S ribosomal RNA". It matches the Rfam family "Bacterial small subunit ribosomal RNA", at positions 355 to 774 of the family's 1533-position model. Lineage: Bacteria; Pseudomonadati; Pseudomonadota; Alphaproteobacteria; Rhodobacterales. The record is from RNAcentral.